Molecule: ribosomal RNA, 556 nt
Filed under: uncultured bacterium
Lineage: Bacteria
Description: partial 16S ribosomal RNA
Rfam family: Bacterial small subunit ribosomal RNA
Source: RNAcentral
UGGGGAAUUUUGGACAAUGGGCGAAAGCCUGAUCCAGCAAUGCCGCGUGUGUGAAGAAGGUUUUCGGAUCGUAAAACUCUGUCUUUUGGGGCGAACGUGAGUAUGGUGAACAAUCAUAGUCAGUGACGGUACCAAAGGAGGAAGCCACGGCUAACUACGUGCCAGCAGCCGCGGUAAUACGUAGGUGGCAAGCGUUGUCCGGAAUUAUUGGGCGUAAAGAGCGCGUAGGCGGGAUAGUCAGUCUGUUGUAAAGUGCGGGGCUCAACCCCGUGAUGGCAAUGGAAACAGCUAUUCUUGAGUGCAGGAGAGGAAAGUGGAAUUCCCAGUGUAGCGGUGAAAUGCGUAGAUAUUGGGAGGAACACCAGUGGCGAAGGCGACUUUCUGGACUGUGUCUGACGCUGAGGCGCGAAAGCCAGGGGAGCGAACGGGAUUAGAUACCCCGGUAGUCCUGGCCGUAAACGAUGGGUACUAGGUGUGGGAGGUAUCGACCCCUUCCGUGCCGGAGUUAACGCAAUAAGUACCCCGCCUGGGGAGUACGGUCGCAAGACUGAAACUU